AAUGAACGCUGGCGGCAUGCCUAACACAUGCAAGUCGAACGAAGCUUUCGGGCUUAGUGGCGCACGGGUGCGUAACGCGUGGGAAUCUGCCCUUGGGUUCGGAAUAACAGUUAGAAAUGACUGCUAAUACCGAAUGAUGUCGUAAGACCAAAGAUUUAUCGCCCAGGGAUGAGCCCGCGUAGGAUUAGCUAGUUGGUGUGGUAAAGGCGCACCAAGGCGACGAUCCUUAGCNGGUCUGAGAGGAUGAUCAGCCACACUGGGACUGAGACACGGCCCAGACUCCUACGGGAGGCAGCAGUGGGGAAUAUUGGACAAUGGGCGAAAGCCUGAUCCAGCAAUGCCGCGUGAGUGAUGAAGGCCUUAGGGUUGUAAACCUCUUUCAGGAGGGACGAAGCUACUCGGGUUAAUAGCCUAGAGGGUGACGGUACCUCCAGAAGAA
This 439-nucleotide ribosomal RNA is filed under the name uncultured bacterium. Its description in RNAcentral is "bacterial SSU rRNA". It matches the Rfam family "Bacterial small subunit ribosomal RNA", at positions 29 to 489 of the family's 1533-position model. The record is from RNAcentral.